CGGGAGCACUGGUUCCUCUACUUCCUGUUCUUGUCCAGACUUUGAUACGUAGUGUACUCCUCUUUCCCUUCUCAUCUUGCCACCACCACUUACUCCUGAAGACAGACCAUUGGAUGCAGGAGUACUGAAUUUGGGGUAGGUCAAAUUGCUUUCAGAUGGUUCUACACGCUGUUCUUCAGGCAAACUCUUCUCUUUCAUUUCUUUGUGCUUUGUGUCUACUCUCUGGUGAAUUUUGCUAGAAUCAGCAGAUGGAGUCAGAGAUGGUUUAAAAUACUGGGUCCG
This 282-nucleotide long non-coding RNA is filed under the name Gallus gallus (chicken). Lineage: Eukaryota; Metazoa; Chordata; Aves; Galliformes; Phasianidae. The record is from RNAcentral.